AAUUUCCUGCUUAACGCGUGAUUGGUGCUAAUAUAACCCUACACUUUUCUUAUAGGGAGCUUAAUCUUUGGCAGUGGUUUGCAGACCUCCCGUGUACACCUUGAUGUAUGCGGAAGCUGGGAGCAAUAAAGCUGACAAGAAGCGCCCACCUGGCUAUUUAGUAGGCAGGUUAUAACAAAGCAUCUAACGGUUAAGCGGGUUAUUU
Molecule: non-coding RNA, 205 nt
Filed under: Clostridium sp. CAG:964
Lineage: Bacteria; Bacillati; Bacillota; Clostridia; Eubacteriales; Clostridiaceae
Also listed under: 2 other names
Description: 6S / SsrS RNA
Rfam family: 6S / SsrS RNA
About the family: E. coli 6S RNA was the first non coding RNA to be sequenced, but its function was unknown until recently. It consists of 184 nucleotides that fold into an extended hairpin structure with a large single-stranded internal bulge.
Source: Rfam by way of RNAcentral